GACGAACGCUGGCGGCGUGCUUAACUCAUGCAAGUCGAACGGAAAGGCCCUGCUUUUGUGGGGUGCUCGAGUGGCGAACGUGUGAGUAACACGUGAGUAACCUGCCCUUGACUUUGGGAUAACUUCAGGAAACUGGGGCUAAUACCGGAUAGGAGCUCCUGCUGCAUGGUGGGGGUUGGAAAGUUUCGGCGGUUGGGGAUGGACUCGCGGCUUAUCAGCUUGUUGGUGGGGUAGUGGCUUACCAAGGCUUUGACGGGUAGCCGGCCUGAGAGGGUGACCGGCCACAUUGGGACUGAGAUACGGCCCAGACUCCUACGGGAGGCAGCAGUGGGGAAUAUUGCACAAUGGGCGGAAGCCUGAUGCAGCAACGCCGCGUGCGGGAUGACGGCCUUCGGGUUGUAAACCGCUUUCGCCUGUGACGAAGCGUGAGUGACGGUAAUGGGUAAAGAAGCACCGGCUAACUACGUG
This 468-nucleotide ribosomal RNA is filed under the name uncultured bacterium. RNAcentral's name for it is "partial 16S ribosomal RNA". It matches the Rfam family "Bacterial small subunit ribosomal RNA", at positions 28 to 507 of the family's 1533-position model. The record is from RNAcentral.